AUUAUGCAGUUUCUUCGAUGGUGCCACUUGUGCCUUCCAUGGAGGCACCUCUGUAGAAUCCUAUUUUGUCUGUGGCUCCACAGCCACUGCCUCAAUCAGAGCUACAAGCACCUCCUCGAAGUUUGGAGAGAAAAUUAACUCAUCAAAGUCAUCUUAGGGCCCAGCAGCCGGCUAGGUGGCGAUCUCCAAGCCCACAGUCGAGCCAUAACUCAACCUCCGGA
Molecule: long non-coding RNA, 221 nt
Filed under: Elaeis guineensis (African oil palm)
Lineage: Eukaryota; Viridiplantae; Streptophyta; Magnoliopsida; Arecales; Arecaceae
Description: long non-coding RNA (EGUI_LNC012648)
Source: RNAcentral